UAGCUUUACUUUUCUACUUUUUACUUUUUUUUUACUUGAACUGUAAUGAUAUCCUCAUUGUUUGGGUCAAAAACAUUAUCAUGUUUUUAAUUUUCCUUUCUAAGAAAUGAGAACCAUGAGAAUAAUGAACCACUACAUACUUCCCAUGGUUGUACUAAGUCUUUCAUCACAAAUAAACCCACACCCUUCCACUUCUUUUCCAAACCACCACUCACAACAGUGAUGUCAUUUCUCAGUUGAUACUAUAUGAACAGUGCAGCUGACAUAGGAACUAAAUAAAUCGAGAAUGAAACUGUAAGGAUAUGAUUACUGGUGGAAUGAAUACUAUGUAAAACACUAUGCAAAGGCAUGAACGUUCAUGAAUGUUUCGUUUGUUUUCUUCUGCCAUCUGGAUGUCAUAAUUUGAACUUCUUGUGGAACGACCGCCAGCCGUAUGUUAUUUGGUAUCCGUUGGUGAUGCGUGGUGUUGUGCGGUUAUAAGGUGUUUAUCGGUUUAACCCCUCAGCGUCGGGGGCAUUUAAAUGUUAGCAGAAUGGCUUCAGUUUCGAGGAAAUGCAUGCCUUCUGGCUACAAAAAGGAAACGCAUAAUACCUUGCGUGAUCCCCCGUGUUAUGCGGAUGGAGAAGCUGCUAAUACUAUAGUAAAAGAACUCGAUAUUGACUGUCAUGAUGAGAUGGCUUUGAAAAUUGAAGAUGAAAUUGCGAGUGAAGAAUUCGAUAGUGACUGUGUUGAUGAGAUGGAUAUGGAAAUUAAAACUGAAAUUUUGAGUGAAGAACUCUAUAUUGACUCUGACGAUGAGAUGGAUUUGGAAAUUAAAGUUGAAAUUGCGAGUGAAGAAUCGAGCAGUGAAAAGUCGGAAAGUGGUACGGAGAGUGAAACGAGUUUUGUUCGUGUUCAUGUGUGGCAAGACGUGACAGUGGGCGACAAGAAACCCAGGGAAUACACAUUUACUAAAAAUGCAGGGCCACAACUUAACCUUCUGCCAGAUGCAGAGCCCACGGAUUAUUUUAAUUUAUUUUUCAACAACGAGCUUUUGAAUAACAUUAUUGGAGAGACGAACAGAUACGCGAGAGACAAAAUUGCGGAACUUCAGCUAAGCCCGAGGUCUAUUUGGAGUAGGUGGUCUGAUGUCUCUACUCCUGAAAUGAAGGCGUUUUUAGGUCUAAUUAUAAACAUGGGCCUAAUCCCAUUACCCGACGUAAAAGACUAUUGGUCUAGUGAAUGGACAACACAGAUAAAAUUUUUUGGUGACGUAAUGUCUAGAAAUCGCUUUUUGCAGAUAUUUUGGAUGAUGCACGUGGGAAAUGAUACCACCGAAGAAAGCAGUCGAGCCAUCAAAAGAACAAAGAAAGUACAUGGGGUUAUAGAACAUAUGGAGAAACAGUUUAGAAAUAUUUUGUGCCAGGUAAAAACAUUGCAAUAGAUGAAUCAACAGUUGGGAUGAAGGGCAAAAUAAUUUUCAAAACUUAUGAUCCAAAAAAACCAACGAAGUGUGGUAUAAGAUUAUUUGUAUUGGUUGACAGUGACACUGGUUAUGUUCACAGUAUAAUUCCAUAUUAUGGAAAACUUACAGGUGACGUGUACAACUUGCCAUACUCAGAAAAACCGUUAACUUCAAGAAUAGUUCUUUCCUUGAUGGACAAACUAGGACUCAGUGUGUCUGGUGUUGAAGGCUACCACCUUUUCACUGACAGAUAUUAUAGUAGUGUUAAGUUGGCCCAAGAAUUGGACAAUCAAAAAUGUCACACAACAGGCACUAUUAUUGCUGAUAGAGUUGGUAAUCCAAAACCAGUGAGGCAGGGUGCCAUGAAGAAAAUGAAGAGUGGGGACACUUGUUCCUACAGAAGUAGGAAUGUCCUGCUAAUGGGCUGGAAAGACAAGAGGGUGGUUCUCAUGAUGUCUACAUAUCAUGACACAUCCAUGGAAAAAAUAGUGACCAUUCAGAAAGGGGGGCAGCAGAAAGAAAUUCAAAAGCCAGUGUGUGUACUUGACUAUGCAAAGCAUGUGGGUGGUAUAAAUCGCAGUGAUCAUUACUGCGCAACAUAUGCUUUCAUUCGGAAAUCUCUGAAGUGGUGGAGAAAACUCUUUUUCUGGUGUCUGGAAGUGUGCAUUGUAAAUUCAUACAUUUUGUACAGCAGCCAUAAGACACACAUGGGAGUGAAACUGAUGUCACAUGUUAGGUAUUGAAGAACUCUUGCUGAAAAUUUAAUAGGUGAUGUGCGCAAUCCAAGAAAGCGGUCACAUCUGGGGUCAGCUGAGAGAGAAGAGAGACUAAAUGUAGCGUCUCACUUCCUCUACCACUAUGAAAAAAAGAAACACAAGGACUGCAUCGUGUGCAGCAAUCGGAAGGUCAAGGGGGCCAGAAAAGAAACAUAUUUCUAGUGGUUGCUGAAACAGAUGCUGAAGUCCAGCAACGCUUACAGAAGUGGAAUAAAUUCUUGGAAUUGGGAGGCAUUGCAGCUGGACAUACAUCAGAAGAGAAUAAAGGGAAAACAGAUGUUACAGAACAAAAUGUAACUAGUGCAAAGGGCAGAGAAUAGGAGGAUAUUACUAAGAAUAUUUAUGCAGAUUCUCAGGUGUGUUUGUCCACACAUGAAGGUAGAGGAUGCAUCUAAAGUACAAAAGUGAGAAGAGGGUGUUAAGGGUAGUAGUGGUAUUGUAGUUGAAGAAGGUGGUAGAUGUGCAGAAAGCACUGAUGACACAGAAGGUCAUAGGAAUGAAGAUGAUGAGAUUGAUGAAGGUAGGAGAAUAGUGAAAACUACAGCAUACGUUUAUGACACAAUUUAGUUAAUGACUUCAUCUUAUACCAUUCUCUGGUGAAUGUAAGGAUUUCUAUUCAUAGUGUAGAAAUUCCUUAAAUCUCCAUGCUUUAAAGAAAAUUACAGGUAUUUACUUCACAGUCUUGUCUCACAAAUAGUAUUGGAUGAGAAGAUGCCAUGAACAGUAAAACUAUUAAUCUUCCUCAGGUAGAAAUGUUUUAAUUAAUUUAUUCCAAGAAAGAAAAGUAACAUGGAAAGUUAUAUAAGGACAUCACUGCUUGUUUGCCAGAAACCAGUAUUUUAUUGAAGUGAAUUGACCUUAACUGUGAAUGCAGUAUUUUUAGCCAAGGAAAUGAUAGAUCACUAGCAUUUGUUGGCAUUGUGGUGGUUGUGUUUUUUGGUUUGUAAAAUAAAAUGACACAUAUUUUGACCACUGUUCACAGUAGGCUAAAAUGAUUCCUAAAGAAGUUGCUGAUUUAAUUUUCAAGUGCAAGAAAACAGCCUAUGAAUACAUUUUGUGUUCAAAAGAAAACAUGAUUUUACAAUUUAUGUAUUAAACAGCAGAUAGCUGAGCCUUAUACCUUAUGUCCAAAAAGUAUCUGACUUUAUUUUUUUCCACUGUAAGUAAUGGCCAAAGGGGUAGGGAUGUGUCUGU
RNA transcript from Cryptotermes secundus, 3414 nucleotides. It is a transcript of the gene named piggyBac transposable element-derived protein 4, with no coding region annotated. The transcript has 2 exons. NCBI's taxonomy places the organism in Eukaryota, Metazoa, Arthropoda, Insecta, Blattodea, Kalotermitidae. The record is from RefSeq and is a predicted model, not a curated record.